RNAcentral lists this transfer RNA (83 nucleotides) under Clostridiales bacterium. RNAcentral describes it as "tRNA-Leu". It matches the Rfam family "tRNA". From Rfam's summary of the family: Transfer RNA (tRNA) molecules are approximately 80 nucleotides in length. Their secondary structure includes four short double-helical elements and three loops (D, anti-codon, and T loops). Further hydrogen bonds mediate the characteristic L-shaped molecular structure. tRNAs have two regions of fundamental functional importance: the anti-codon, which is responsible for specific mRNA codon recognition, and the 3' end, to which the tRNAs corresponding amino acid is attached (by aminoacyl-tRNA synthetases). tRNAs cope with the degeneracy of the genetic code in two manners: having more than one tRNA (with a specific anti-codon) for a particular amino acid; and 'wobble' base-pairing, i.e. permitting non-standard base-pairing at the 3rd anti-codon position. The record is from RNAcentral. Lineage: Bacteria; Bacillati; Bacillota; Clostridia; Eubacteriales.
GCGGGUGUGGCGGAAUGGCAGACGCGGCAGAUUUAGGAUCUGUUGCCCAUGGCGUAUGAGUUCGAGUCUCUUCACCCGCACCA